Molecule: ribosomal RNA, 253 nt
Filed under: uncultured bacterium
Lineage: Bacteria
Also listed under: 1 other name
Description: partial 16S ribosomal RNA
Rfam family: Bacterial small subunit ribosomal RNA
Source: RNAcentral
UACGAAGGGUGCAAACGUUGCUCGGAAUUAUUGGGCGUAAAGCGCACGUAGGCGGCUUUGCAAGUCGGAUGUGAAAUCCCUCGGCUUAACCAAGGAAGUGCAUCCGAAACUGCAGAGCUUGAGUACUUAAGAGGAUCGCGGAAUUCCCGGUGUAGAGGUGAAAUUCGUAGAUAUCGGGAGGAACACCAGUGGCGAAGGCGGCGAUCUGGGAAGAUACUGACGCUGAGGUGCGAAAGCGUGGGGAGCAAACAGG